CUCCUGUGCAGGGCUUGAGUUUGCGAUCACCCAGCUGAAGUCUGUUGUCCUGGCGAUCGGGGUGAUUGACAGACAUCUGAGUGUGGAACAGGCUGUGCUGCUCUCCAGACUGGAGGAGGAAUACCAGAUAAAAUACUGGGGAAACGUGGAGUGGGCCCAUGACUACGAAAGUUAUGAGCUGAGGGCACGGACUGCUGCUGGAGCUCUUUUUGUUCACCUCUCAUCUGAGAGUUCAACUGUCAAACGCAAACUUAUGCAGAAUUGAAAAGUGUGUGCGCCCUUAAACUGAGAACACCUCAGUUUAUCCAUGCUUCUUCAUCCAUUCAGACAAACACACAUACACCCUGCUUGUUCUGUUUAGCAGUGACAGCUGCUGUGUCUGUGAUCUGUUAUAGAGUCAUCUCACUCCAGUGAAAACAUUGGCUAUCUUUCUGCAGUGUUUAUACGUGGCAGCUGCCAAGUGUGCCACCCCUCACCGAGUUUCCAGCCGGUUCUCAGUCGCCCGUGACAUUUUGGGCACUGCGCAUGGUUUCAGGAGGAUUAUGACUAAUGCUGUUGUCUAUUUGGUGGAUGAAUGUUAACUCCAUGUCUGCCUUCUGUCUGCCACAUUUGAAUACUGCAAAGUGCAUAUGCUAUUGUAAUAGGAGCAACAGAUGGAACAUACUGCAUUCCAAUUAUUUUCUGUAAUUUAAAUUCAUUCAUGUUUUAGGUAUUUUGGCUUUUUUGUGGUAACUAAUGAGGUAAAAGAUCAUGUACAUGGAUUAGCAUCAUCUCCACUUCACAGUUCUGUUUCUUCAAAAAGUAGUAUUUAAGCAGAAAAGUAUAUUUUCUGCAUCCUCAUACAGUAGUCAUGUUCACAUACAGUGCUGAAGGUGUUGUUGCUUUCCCGACUGGAAAUAAAUUCAAAGAAUGGCUUGUUUGUCUGUGCCCUUUCCACCUAUUGUAAGCAAAAUGUCAGUAAACUUUAUUGUGAAUUAAAACCCCAACAAUUCAAAA
Molecule: long non-coding RNA, 996 nt
Organism: Notothenia coriiceps (black rockcod)
Lineage: Eukaryota; Metazoa; Chordata; Actinopteri; Perciformes; Nototheniidae
Exons: 2
Source: RefSeq, a predicted model, not a curated record